GAGGUGAGAAGGGGGUGAGAGAAACCCCUCAGAGAGGAGAGGCGAGGCGAGGUCCAGAUUACAUCGGUCUCCACGUCCGUGCCCCGAUCAGUGCCCCCUGCGCCACCACCCCCUCCACCUCCCACCUCGCUGUCCCAGCCACCCCCGCUGCUGAGGCCACCUUUGCCCACGGCUCCCACUCUGCUCCGACAGCCACCCCCACUGCAGCAGGGCCGCUUCCUCCAGCCCCGGCUGGCCCCCAACCAGCCCCCACCGCCUCUCAUCCGCCCCGCUCUG
RNAcentral lists this long non-coding RNA (276 nucleotides) under Homo sapiens (human). Its description in RNAcentral is "non-protein coding lnc-MACROD1-3:1". The record is from RNAcentral. Lineage: Eukaryota; Metazoa; Chordata; Mammalia; Primates; Hominidae.